AUUGAACGCUGGCGGCAGGCCUAACACAUGCAAGUCGAGCGGAUGAAGGGAGCUUGCUCCUGGAUUCAGAGGCGGACGGGUGUGUAAUGCCUAGGAAUCUGCCUGGUAGUGGGGGAUAACGUCCGGAAACGGGCGCUAAUACCGCCUACGUCCUGCGGGAGCAAGUGGGGGAUCUUCGGACCUCAUGCUCUCAGAUGAGCCUAGGUCGGAUUAGCUAGUUGGUGGGGUAAAGGCCUACCAAGGCGACGAUCCGUAACUGGUCUGACAGGAGGAUCAGUCACACUGGAACUGAGACACGGUCCAGGCUCCUACGGGAGGCAGCAGUGUGGAAUGUGAGGCAAUAGGCGAAAGCCUGAUCCAGCCAGGCCGCGUGUGUUGAGAAGGUCUUCGGAUUGUAAAGCACGUUAAGUUGGGAGGAAGGGCAGUAAGUUGAUACCUUGCUGCAUUGACGUUACCAACAGAAUAAGCACCGGCUAACUUCGUG
This 484-nucleotide ribosomal RNA is filed under the name uncultured bacterium. Its description in RNAcentral is "partial 16S ribosomal RNA". It matches the Rfam family "Bacterial small subunit ribosomal RNA", at positions 30 to 507 of the family's 1533-position model. The record is from RNAcentral.